Molecule: non-coding RNA, 354 nt
Organism: Eptesicus fuscus (big brown bat)
Lineage: Eukaryota; Metazoa; Chordata; Mammalia; Chiroptera; Vespertilionidae
Source: the annotation of a RefSeq genome assembly
AUGGCCUGGACCCCUCUCCUGCUGCCCCUGCUCACUCUCUGCACAGGCUCUGUGGCCUCCUAUGAGCUGACCCAGUCGGGCUCUUUAUCAGUGGCCCUGGGAGAGACAGCCAGCAUCACCUGCACUGGAGAAUUACUGGAUAAAAGAUAUACCCACUGGUACCAGCAGAAGCCUGGCCAGGCCCCUGUGCAGGUCAUUUAUAAGGAUAGCGAGAGGCCCUCAGGGAUCCCUGACCGGUUCUCAGGCUCCAGCUCCGGGAAGACAGCCACCCUGACCAUCAGUGGGGCCCAGGCCGAGGAUGAGGCUGACUAUUUCUGCCUGUCUAGCCCCAGCGAAGGACAUUUCUCACAGUGA